GAUGAACGCUGGCGGCGUGCUUAACACAUGCAAGUCGAACGGAAAGGCCGAAGCUUGCUUCGGUACUCGAGUGGCGAACGGGUGAGUAACACGUGGGUGAUCUGCCCUGUACUUCGGGAUAAGCUUGGGAAACUGGGUCUAAUACCGGAUAUGACGAUCUCUUGGAUGGGGUUGUGGAAAGCUUUUGCGGUAUGGGAUGAGCUCGCGGCCUAUCAGCUUGUUGGUGGGGUAAUGGCCUACCAAGGCGUCGACGGGUAGCCGGCCUGAGAGGGUGUACGGCCACAUUGGGACUGAGAUACGGCCCAGACUCCUACGGGAGGCAGUAAUGGGGAAUAUUGCACAAUGGGCGCAAGCCUGAUGCAGCGACGCCGCGUGGGGGAUGACGGCCUUCGGGUUGUAAACUCCUUUCGCAAUCGACGAAGCCUUUUGGUGACGGUAGGUUGAGAAGAAGCACCGGCUAACUACGUG
This 468-nucleotide ribosomal RNA is filed under the name uncultured bacterium. RNAcentral's name for it is "partial 16S ribosomal RNA". It matches the Rfam family "Bacterial small subunit ribosomal RNA", at positions 28 to 507 of the family's 1533-position model. The record is from RNAcentral.